This 813-nucleotide ribosomal RNA is filed under the name Triticum aestivum (bread wheat). RNAcentral's name for it is "partial small subunit ribosomal RNA". The record is from RNAcentral. Lineage: Eukaryota; Viridiplantae; Streptophyta; Magnoliopsida; Poales; Poaceae.
AUGGCGGGGGUGGGAGAGAUGGAUGUUGCCGGGACGACAAGGGAACCGGAGGUUCGGGCGGUAGUGAGCACCGUCGGCCACGGCGCCGAGCUACACGACCCCCCUGUAGUUGCAGCGGCGGACGAGAGCUACAUGUCAGACGAAGAAGUAAUGGAGUCUGAUACUGCAUUCAGCCAACGUUUCACAGCAAAACACUUGCGCGAAGUUGCGAAGAUAAAACUUAAUCCUAGCAAGAGGCGCUACAUAAAUGAAACUGCCUUCGGUGAUCUCACGAGCAUCUCGCCUUUCACAGUGCCACAUGAUCUGAUGGAAUGGUUAACAAUGAACAUUGACACUGACAGUCGUGAGCUCAGGCUGAGUCGGACUAAGGUCAUUGUGUUUACUCGAGACAUGGUGAAGAAGGUUUUCAAUAUCCCAUCAGGCAACAGACCAGUUGAGCUUUUCAAGAGACAUGAGCAUUGUGAGCUCCACAACAUUUAUCACAAGAAUGGCAGGGCUUCAAUUGCGCAUACAGUGGAUGUGCUUCAUCGAGCUAGGAAUGAUGAUGGCGAUACUACGAAGAGGUCAUGGGUGCUCUUAGCGCUUGCAACAGUUUUAAAUCCAAGCACUGGCAACAUGGUGCCACUAGAGUACUUGGAAAGCCUUGAAGAAAUGGACAAGGUUACUGAAUUUGCUUGGGAUGAACAUGUUUUAAGUGUUGCAAUGAGAGAGGUCAAGAAGUGCCAGGACAAGAUAAAAUCACAGGCUACUUCUUCAUUCUGGGUUGGGGGCUGCUUCCCUAUGCUCGCGCUGCCAUCAACGAGCACCAAUUGA